GGUUAAGUGAAUAAGGGCGCACGGUGGAUGCCUUGGCACUAGGAGCCGAUGAAGGACGGGACUAACACCGAUAUGCUUUGGGGAGCUGUAAGUAAGCUAUGAUCCAGAGAUUUCCGAAUGGGGGAACCCAAUAUCUUUUAUAGGAUAUUACUUUUCAGUGAAUACAUAGCUGAUUAGAGGUAGACGCAGAGAACUGAAACAUCUUAGUACCUGCAGGAAGAGAAAGAAAAUUCGAUUCCCUGAGUAGCGGCGAGCGAAACGGGAAGAGCCCAAACCAACAAGCUUGCUUGUUGGGGUUGUAGGACUCCGAUAUGGUAGUCUGUUAGUAUAGUUGAAGGAUUUGGAAAAUUCCGCUAAAGAGGGUGAAAGCCCCGUAGACGAAAUGCUAACAACACCUAGGAGGAUCCUGAGUACGGCGGAACACGAGAAAUUCCGUCGGAAUCCGCGGGGACCAUCCCGCAAGGCUAAAUACUCCCUAGUGACCGAUAGUGAACCAGUACCGUGAGGGAAAGGUGAAAAGCACCCCGGAAGGGGAGUGAAAUAGAUCCUGAAACCGUGUGCCUACAACAAGUCAAAGCUCGUUAAUGAGUGAUGGCGUGCCUUUUGUAGAAUGAACCGGCGAGUUACGAUUGCAUGCGAGGUUAAGUCGAAGAGACGGAGCCGCAGCGAAAGCGAGUCUGAAUAGGGCGAAUGAGUAUGUAGUCGUAGACCCGAAACCAUGUGAUCUACCCAUGUCCAGGUUGAAGGUGCGGUAAAACGCACUGGAGGACCGAACCCACGUACGUUGAAAAGUGCGGGGAUGAGGUGUGGGUAGCGGAGAAAUUCCAAACGAACUUGGAGAUAGCUGGUUCUCUCCGAAAUAGCUUUAGGGCUAGCCUCGGAAUUGAGAAUGAUGGAGGUAGAGCACUGUUUGGACUAGGGGCCCAUCUCGGGUUACCGAAUUCAGAUAAACUCCGAAUGCCAUUCAUUUAUAUCCGGGAGUCAGACUGCGAGUGAUAAGAUCCGUAGUCGAAAGGGAAACAGCCCAGACCACCAGCUAAGGUCCCAAAAUAUAUGUUAAGUGGAAAAGGAUGUGGGGUUGCACAGACAACUAGGAUGUUGGCUUAGAAGCAGCCACCAUUUAAAGAGUGCGUAAUAGCUCACUAGUCGAGUGACCCUGCGCCGAAAAUGUACCGGGGCUAAACAUAUUACCGAAGCUGUGGACUACACCAUUAGGUGUAGUGGUAGGAGAGCGUUCUAAGGGCGUUGAAGGUCGAUCGUGAGGACGGCUGGAGCGCUUAGAAGUGAGAAUGCCGGUAUGAGUAGCGAAAGACAGGUGAGAAUCCUGUCCACCGUAUGACUAAGGUUUCCUGGGGAAGGCUCGUCCGCCCAGGGUUAGUCGGGACCUAAGCCGAGGCCGAUAGGCGUAGGCGAUGGACAACAGGUUGAUAUUCCUGUACCAGUUGUUUUUGUUUGAGCAAUGGAGGGACGCAGUAGGCUAAGGAAUGCAUGCGAUUGGAAGUGCAUGUCCAAGCAAUGAGUCUUGAG
RNAcentral lists this ribosomal RNA (1527 nucleotides) under Enterococcus faecalis. RNAcentral describes it as "partial 23S ribosomal RNA". It matches the Rfam family "Bacterial large subunit ribosomal RNA", at positions 1 to 1530 of the family's 2925-position model. The record is from RNAcentral. Lineage: Bacteria; Bacillati; Bacillota; Bacilli; Lactobacillales; Enterococcaceae.